GAAGCGCGAAAUGUAGUGUGAAUCGCAGAACAUUGUGAAUCAUCGAAUCUUUGAACGCAUAUUGCGCCUCCCGUAACAGGGAGGCAUGCCUGUCUGAGCGUCAUUUAAACCCAUACACCUUUGAAGGUUGUGUGUUGGGCCCUUCGUCGAGCCCCUUCGGUCCGACGUGGCCUCAAAGCCAUCGGUCUAGUUGAGCGGACGAGAUCCAUUAGGACAUUGACCGUUCGAUCGACCUUAAAGGUAAAUCUGAAUUUGACCUCAGAUCAGGUAGGACUACCGCCUGAACUUAA
This 290-nucleotide unclassified non-coding RNA is filed under the name uncultured Archaeorhizomycetes. Its description in RNAcentral is "sequence contains ITS1". The stretch from base 1 to 103 matches the Rfam family "5.8S ribosomal RNA", at positions 50 to 154 of the family's 154-position model. Lineage: Eukaryota; Fungi; Ascomycota; Archaeorhizomycetes. The record is from RNAcentral.